GUGGAUUAGAUACCCGGGUAGUCCUAGCUGUAAACGAUGAGCACUGGAUUGGAGGGUCCCUCAUAGCCUUCCAGUCGCAGCGAAAGUGUUAAGUGCUCCGCCUGGGGAGUAUGGUCGCAAGGCUGAAACUCAAAGAAAUUGACGGGGGCUCACACAAGCGGUGGAGGAUGUGGCUUAAUUCGAGGCUACGCGAAGAACCUUAUCCUAGUCUUGACAUGCACGGAUUAACUCCCUGAAAGGGGAGCCAGGCCUUCGGGUACAACGUGCACAGGUGCUGCACGGCUGUCGACAGCU
Molecule: ribosomal RNA, 294 nt
Filed under: uncultured bacterium
Lineage: Bacteria
Description: partial 16S ribosomal RNA
Rfam family: Bacterial small subunit ribosomal RNA
Source: RNAcentral